This is a long non-coding RNA of Choloepus didactylus (southern two-toed sloth), 2383 nucleotides long. RefSeq lists it as uncharacterized. Lineage: Eukaryota; Metazoa; Chordata; Mammalia; Pilosa; Megalonychidae. The record is from RefSeq and is a predicted model, not a curated record. The transcript is spliced from 6 exons.
CGAAUUGACGUGACGGCUGUCACUCCUGCCCUUGUCUUUGGCGCCCCUUGCGGAGGCCGUCAGCUAUAAUCGCCCGGGGCCUGGGGCGGGGGGAGGUGCCAAGGGGGCCGUAGCUGCCCCGAGGUCUCUUCUGGACGAAGCCUAAGUGCGGGGUUGCCUGGGUGGUAGGUGGUAGGAGUCCCGCACCUACGCCGCUGUCAUGGUGAAGAACAGUAUCCCCAACGGAUGGAGGACCAUGACCCCAACUGGACACCCUCUACCUGGAACCCGAUUUAUUGCUUUUAAAGUUCCAUUAAAAGGGUAAUCUUGGAAUGGAUGUCUGGAAUUGUGAUGAAGAUACAGAUCUCCCAGCCAAUUCUAUGGAAGAAUCCAGGGAUUGGCCCCCAAUUGAAGACUUUUGUGGAUAAAUAUUAGUAACCUGGUUUUAGAUGAAUAUUUUAUUAAGGUUAUGAAACAUAUCCUUUGAUAAUGGUAGAGCAGAGGGGGGAAAAACCACAGGACUGGGAAUCAGGAAAUUUAGGUUCAAAUCUAAUCUCUGCCACUUACUAAUUGUAUAUGAUCUAGAACAACAGAUGUAAGCUUUUCAGGCCACAGUUGUUUAAUGUGUAACAUAAAACCAUUGGACCAAAUCAGUUUUCGUUAAGCUGUAUUCUAAGGACAUAUGAAACUAGUGUUUCAUGAGAGAUGACUAGUUUUCCAGGAAAAAAAAAAAGUUUGUUUCUUGUUUUUUUGUCAGAUAAAUUUGGGAAAUGCAGUCUAUUAUCACCAUGAACAUUAGUGCAUUAAAAUCCUUAGAAGUCAUGCAGUAAAGAGAUUUAUUAAAUUUUACUUAACCCAGCAUUUCCCCAACUUAUUUGAGCACAGAACUCUUCUUUUUUCCACAGAACAAGCAUUAUCAUGAUGUGGGACACUAAUGUUCUCCAAACUGAGAAACAAUGAACUAGGUCUGGGAAAAAAAUCAAGGCUUCUUAAUGAUCUGCACCCUCAAAAUGGUAUACAGAGAGAAGAGUAUGAUUAUGUCAACAAUGACCUGCCCAGAGGCAUGGGGAUUUUUAUGAACACCAGUGUAAUGACAGCAUACCAGAAGAAAGACUCUUGAGUGACUGGGAUUUUGGUAGCAAGGGACCAGUACCAAGAUGUUCAUUUUUUGAUGAUCACCAGUGUUAUGAUGUCUCCCAAGAGGAGAAAGAUUUCAGUAACAAGAUACCUGGAUCAAGACCAAGACCAUUUCAUGAUCACCAGCCUCACAGUGACCUCCACGAACCAGACCCUGGAGAUGAUUUUUAUUUUAUUAAAAAAAGUUCAUGGACAAAGGAUGCAUUCUAUUCAUAACCAGCAGGCCAAUAGUAACUUUCAAGAACAAUGUUCAACGGAAAAUUUUGGUUUUGUUAACAGAGGUCAGGGACAAAAACAACGACCUUUCCAUAACCACCACGAGUAUUCACUUAAAUGUGAUUUUCAGGACCAGUUACCUGAACAAGGUUUAAAUUACUUCACUAUAGGUGGUUUUCAAAGGCAAAGACCUUUCCACUGACACUAUUCUCAUGAUGAAAUGAAUUUAGAAGAUUUAGAUUAUACUGAUGAAGUAUCAGGGCAUACACUGGUAGCUUUACAUGACCAUUCCAACAGUGAUUUCUCAGAGAAAAUUCCAUUGAAGAAAUAUGUUAAUAGAUGCUAUGGACAGAGACUACCACCCUUUCAAAAUUUUCAAAAACAAGUGCAGUUAAGAAAUUUUGAUUUCAACAGUAGAACUGGACCAAGAUAAAUAUCUUAUUAUGACCACCCAACUUGUGAUCCACAAGAACAGAUACUAUUAGAGACUUGGACUUUGAGCAUGAAACAUCCUUACAAAGACCAAGAUCCUUUCGAUCCCACCCACUUCGUGAUAACAUAAAUACCAGUUGGUAUUUAGACAAGAAUUUUGGCACUGAUAAUUGCAGAGGCAGAAGUCAGAGACUUGCCUUUCUAGAAGACAGUAGAAGAAUACAUCCUUCAGAUGGAUUCAGCCACUGAAGGACAGAACAGAUUCACAACAUACUCCUCAAGCAGACUUCCGUCUUCUUAUGUACUCCAAGAAGACGGUUCAGCAGCUGACUCUUGUAGAGGUAAAAAUCCAAGAAAUAUGGAACAGCACAAAAGUUCAUAUUUUUAAGCUAUUGAACACUAUUAUGAUAUAUCUGUAGAUUAUGGAACUCCAGAGAAAGAAUUUUAUGAUUUACCAACAAGAAAAAACUACAUUUGGUGCUGAGUAGUUCACUUUAAAAUCUAUUUAUUGUUUUAUCUGUAUUUGCCCCUAUUUUCAUUGUUUAAGAGACAAAAAUCAUUUCAAAGUGAAAAAGUUGUAUGUGAAAAGACAACAUGUAUUAUAAAAUUAGCCAUCUAC